AGGUAAGCUACUAAGAGCGAAUGGUGGAUGCCUUGACUGGUAAAGGCGAUGAAGGACGUACUAGACUGCGAUAAGCUACGGGGAGCUGUCAAGAAGCUUUGAUCCGUAGAUUUCCGAAUGGGGCAACCCAAUGUAUAGAGAUAUACAUUACCUAUAUAGGAGCGAACGAGGGGAAUUGAAACAUCUUAGUACCCUCAGGAAAAGAAAUCAAUAGAGAUUGCGUCAGUAGCGGCGAGCGAAAGCGCAAGAGGGCAAACCCAGUGCUUGCACUGGGGGUUGUAGGACUGCAAUGUGCAAGAGGUGAGUUUAGCAGAACAUUCUGGAAAGUAUAGCCAUAGAGGGUGAUAGUCCCGUAUGCGAAAAACAAACUUUAGCUAGCAGUAUCCUGAGUAGGGCGGGACACGAGGAAUCCUGUCUGAAUCCGGGUCGACCACGAUCCAACCCUAAAUACUAAUACCAGAUCGAUAGUGCACAAGUACCGUGAGGGAAAGGUGAAAAGAACUGAGGUGAUCAGAGUGAAAUAGAACCUGAAACCAUUUGCUUACAAUCAUUCAGAGCACUAUGUAGCAAUACAGUGUGAUGGACUGCCUUUUGCAUAAUGAGCCUGCGAGUUGUGGUGUCUGGCAAGGUUAAGCAAACGCGAAGCCGUAGCGAAAGCGAGUCUGAAUAGGGCGCUUAGUCAGAUGCUGCAGACCCGAAACGAAGUGAUCUAUCCAUGAGCAAGUUGAAGCUAGUGUAAGAACUAGUGGAGGACUGAACCCAUAGGCGUUGAAAAGCCCCGGGAUGACUUGUGGAUAGGGGUGAAAGGCCAAUCAAACUUCGUGAUAGCUGGUUCUCUCCGAAAUAUAUUUAGGUAUAGCGUUGUGUCGUAAUAUAAGGGGGUAGAGCACUGAAUGGGCUAGGGCAUACACCAAUGUACCAAACCCUAUCAAACUCCGAAUACCUUAUAUGUAAUCACAGCAGUCAGGCGGCGAGUGAUAAAAUCCGUCGUCAAGAGGGAAACAACCCAGACUACCAGCUAAGGUCCCUAAAUCUUACUUAAGUGGAAAACGAUGUGAAGUUACUUAAACAACCAGGAGGUUGGCUUAGAAGCAGCCAUCCUUUAAAGAAAGCGUAAUAGCUCACUGGUCUAGUGAUUUUGCGCGGAAAAUAUAACGGGGCUAAAGUAAGUACCGAAGCUGUAGACUUGACUUUGUCAAGUGGUAGGAGAGCGUUCUAUUUGCGUCGAAGGUAUACCGGUAAGGAGUACUGGAGCGAAUAGAAGUGAGCAUGCAGGCAUGAGUAGCGAUAAUUAAUGUGAGAAUCAUUAACGCCGUAAACCCAAGGUUUCCUACGCGAUGCUCGUCAUCGUAGGGUUAGUCGGGUCCUAAGUCGAGUCCGAAAGGGGUAGACGAUGGCAAAUUGGUUAAUAUUCCAAUACCAACAUUAGUGUGCGAUGGAAGGACGCUUAGGGCUAAGGGGGCUAGCGGAUGGAAGUGCUAGUCUAAGGUCGUAGGAGGUUAUACAGGCAAAUCCGUAUAACAUACUCCGAGAACUGAAAGGCUUUUUGAAGUCUUCGGAUGGAUAGAAGAACCCCUGAUGCCGUCGAGCCAAGAAAAGUUUCUAAGUUUAGCUAAUGUUGCCCGUACCGUAAACCGACACAGGUGGGUGGGAUGAGUAUUCUAAGGCGCGUGGAAGAACUCUCUUUAAGGAACUCUGCAAAAUAGCACCGUAUCUUCGGUAUAAGGUGUGGUUAGCUUCGUACUAGGAUUUACUCCGAAAGCGAAGAAACUUACAACAAAGAGUCCCUCCCGACUGUUUACCAAAAACACAGCACUCUGCUAACUCGUAAGAGGAUGUAUAGGGUGUGACGCCUGCCCGGUGCUCGAAGGUUAAUUGAUGGGGUUAGCAUUAGCGAAGCUCUUGAUCGAAGCCCGAGUAAACGGCGGCCGUAACUAUAACGGUCCUAAGGUAGCGAAAUUCCUUGUCGGUUAAAUACCGACCUGCAUGAAUGGCGUAACGAGAUGGGAGCUGUCUCAAAGAGGGAUCCAGUGAAAUUGUAGUGGAGGUGAAAAUUCCUCCUACCCGCGGCAAGACGGAAAGACCCCGUGGACCUUUACUACAGCUUGACACUGCUAUUUGGAUAAGAAUGUGCAGGAUAGGUGGGAGGCUUUGAGUAUAUGACGCUAGUUGUAUAGGAGCCAUUGUUGAGAUACCACUCUUUCUUAUUUGGGUAGCUAACCAGCUUGAGUUAUCCUCAAGUGGGACAAUGUCUGGUGGGUAGUUUGACUGGGGCGGUCGCCUCCCAAAUAAUAACGGAGGCUUACAAAGGUUGGCUCAGAACGGUUGGAAAUCGUUCGUAGAGUAUAAAGGUAUAAGCCAGCUUAACUGCAAGACAUACAAGUCAAGCAGAGACGAAAGUCGGUCUUAGUGAUCCGGUGGUUCUGUGUGGAAGGGCCAUCGCUCAAAGGAUAAAAGGUACCCCGGGGAUAACAGGCUGAUCUCCCCCAAGAGCUCACAUCGACGGGGAGGUUUGGCACCUCGAUGUCGGCUCAUCGCAUCCUGGGGCUGGAGCAGGUCCCAAGGGUAUGGCUGUUCGCCAUUUAAAGCGGUACGCGAGCUGGGUUCAGAACGUCGUGAGACAGUUCGGUCCCUAUCUGCCGUGGGCGUAAGAAGAUUGAAGAGAUUUGACCCUAGUACGAGAGGACCGGGUUGAACAAACCACUGGUGUAGCUGUUGUUCUGCCAAGAGCAUCGCAGCGUAGCUAAGUUUGGAAAGGAUAAACGCUGAAAGCAUCUAAGCGUGAAGCCAACUCUAAGAUGAAUCUUCUCUAAGCUCUCUAGAAGACUACUAGUUUGAUAGGCUGGGUGUGUAAUGGAUGAAAGUCUUUUAGCUGACCAGUACUAAUAGAGCGUUUGGCUUAUCUUU
RNAcentral lists this ribosomal RNA (2907 nucleotides) under Campylobacter jejuni. RNAcentral describes it as "23S ribosomal RNA". It matches the Rfam family "Bacterial large subunit ribosomal RNA". The record is from RNAcentral. Lineage: Bacteria; Pseudomonadati; Campylobacterota; Epsilonproteobacteria; Campylobacterales; Campylobacteraceae.